Molecule: long non-coding RNA, 155 nt
Organism: Perognathus longimembris pacificus (Pacific pocket mouse)
Lineage: Eukaryota; Metazoa; Chordata; Mammalia; Rodentia; Heteromyidae
Exons: 3
Source: RefSeq, a predicted model, not a curated record
UUGCUCAAGGCUAGCGCUCUACCACUUGAGCCGCAGAGCCCCUUCCAGCUUUUUCUGUGUAUGUGGUGCUGAGGAAUCAAAUCCAGGGCUUCAUGCAUGCUAGGCAAGCACUCUACCAUGAAGCAACAUUCCCAGCUCAUGAAAGUAAAGUUUUG